CUCGGAACAGCACCGAUGCGCCGGACUGAAAACGGGAGCGCGCACGGUUUUGCGUAUGCGUUUGCCUAAGCGGUAGCCCCCGCGCCUGCGCAAAAGCGCGCAUGAGACGUCGCGGAGCUGAGAGGGCUGUGUGCGUUGGUCAAAUCUCGGAGAUUCGUCCUCUGAGCUUCUGCUCCGUGGGGUUUUUACCGGAAACAGCCGGCCGCUUCCGGUGUUUCGGCUUUCCGGGCUUCGCGUGACUCCAGCCUGCCGUUAGGUGGCGUUCCUAGCGGUUAUUUUUUUGUUUCCGGUUGAAACACUGAGGCCAUUUCCGCAGAGCCAGUAGCCAGUUAGAAACGUUUACCUUGUCUUCUGAAUUGGCAGCCUGGAAACGUGAAGGAAAAUGGAAGUUAAGAUCAGUGUCAUUUCUAUUUCUCACCUACCACCACCUGCCCACCUGCUGGCUGCGAUCUGGACCUGCCAGCCUGCUGUAGCAAGGAAAGGAGGAGGAGGAUGUGUCAAGCUCUCCAAAUGGUGGCCCCUUCGGUUGGCACAAGGUGAAGAGGAAGCACCCCCACCCCCUCCUGCCUGGGGAGAAGAAGGGAGAUGUCCAGCAUACUGAUAAGUGCCUCUAGAGGAAUCCGCUCACGUUCUCUUCCAGGACCUGGAGUGCUUGGGACGAGAGAAUGUAAACAUCGACAGAACAGCAGCCCUAUAACCACAUGAGUACUUUCCCAUCAGGUAGAUUCCGUCAGCCAGCCGAGUGUGUCAUUUCCUUUGCUUGCUGGGAAGUCACUGAGUUUUCC
Vicugna pacos (alpaca) is the source of this 785-nucleotide non-coding RNA. NCBI's taxonomy places the organism in Eukaryota, Metazoa, Chordata, Mammalia, Artiodactyla, Camelidae. The record is from RefSeq and is a predicted model, not a curated record.